Molecule: unclassified non-coding RNA, 529 nt
Filed under: uncultured fungus
Lineage: Eukaryota; Fungi
Description: sequence contains ITS1, 5.8S rRNA gene, ITS2
Rfam family: 5.8S ribosomal RNA (bases 210-363)
Source: RNAcentral
UUAUCGUACAACCGAGGUGCGGAGGGCUGUCGCUGACUUUUGUCGUGCACGCCCAAAGUGCUCUCAAACAAUAUCCAUCUCACCCAUUUGUGCAUCAUCGCGUGGGUCCUGCUUUUUGGCUUGUCCCAAGGAGGGGGGCUCGCGUUUUCACACAAACACCCUUUUAAUGCAGUGUAGAAUGUUCUUUUGCGAUGACUCGCAAUAAAUACAACUUUCAACAACGGAUCUCUUGGCUCUCGCAUCGAUGAAGAACGCAGCGAAAUGCGAUACGUAAUGUGAAUUGCAGAAUUCAGUGAAUCAUCGAAUCUUUGAACGCACCUUGCGCCCCUUGGCAUUCCGAGGGGCACACCCGUUUGAGUGUCGUGACAUUCUCAAAAAGAACCCUUCUUGGUCUUGCGAUCGGGAAAGGCUUUUUUUUGGACUUUGGAGGUUAUUGCUGGUCCCCCCUUGAUAGCCAGCUCCUCUUAAANGAAUUAGUAGGGACCGCUUUGCUGACCCUAGACGUGAUAAGAUGUUUCUGCGUCUUGGG